RNAcentral lists this ribosomal RNA (429 nucleotides) under uncultured bacterium. RNAcentral's name for it is "bacterial SSU rRNA". It matches the Rfam family "Bacterial small subunit ribosomal RNA", at positions 355 to 796 of the family's 1533-position model. The record is from RNAcentral.
UGGGGAAUAUUGCACAAUGGGCGCAAGCCUGAUGCAGCGACGCCGCGUGAGGGAUGACGGCCUUCGGGUUGUAAACCUCUUUCAGUAUCGACGAAGCGCAAGUGACGGUAGGUACAGAAGAAGCACCGGCCAACUACGUGCCAGCAGCCGCGGUAAUACGUAGGGUGCGAGCGUUGUCCGGAAUUACUGGGCGUAAAGAGCUCGUAGGUGGUUUGUCGCGUUGUUCGUGAAAACUCACAGCUCAACUGUGGGCGUGCGGGCGAUACGGGCAGACUAGAGUACGGCAGGGGAGACCGGAAUUCCUGGUGUAGCGGUGAAAUGCGCAGAUAUCAGGAGGAACACCGGUGGCGAAGGCGGAUCUCUGGGCCAUUACUGACGCUGAGGAGCGAAAGCGUGGGGAGCGAACAGGAUUAGAUACCCCCGUAGUCC